UAUGGGCGGUAUUUUAAGCUUUUCAGAGGAAUUUGCUCUUUAAUGGAUAAAACACCUAAAUCUUACUUAAAUUUGUUAAUUCAAUUUGUAUACCACUAUAAAAACAAUUUAUAACUUUAAUUGUUUAAAUUUAUUAAAUUAAAAUAUAUUAAGUCAAGGUGCAGUAAAAAUUUAAGAAUGAAGUGAAUUACAUUACUCUUUAGAGAAAUAAAUUUAAAAUAAUAUUUAGGAUUUGAAAGUAAAAUUAAAAUAGAAUGUUAAUUUGAAUUAAGCUCUAAAAUAUGUACACAUCGCC
Molecule: ribosomal RNA, 295 nt
Filed under: Rhipicephalus turanicus
Lineage: Eukaryota; Metazoa; Arthropoda; Arachnida; Ixodida; Ixodidae
Description: partial 12S ribosomal RNA
Source: RNAcentral